AAGCGGCACCAUUUUUCUGGAACUCGCAGCCCGAGGAAUCGGAAGACUCGGCAAUUCGCCGA
RNAcentral lists this small RNA (62 nucleotides) under Sinorhizobium meliloti 2011. RNAcentral's name for it is "putative ncRNA". Lineage: Bacteria; Pseudomonadati; Pseudomonadota; Alphaproteobacteria; Hyphomicrobiales; Rhizobiaceae. The record is from RNAcentral.